AUUGGCAUUUUAAUUAUUUUACAUUUACGUUGGUAAAGUUAAAUAGGUCUUUGUGUAAAUUAUUUCUUUAAAACUAUGGAUAGAUUUACGAAUGGAGAGUUGGGCGAUAUGCAUUUUGUGAAUGGUUUGUGUAAUGACAGCUCGUUAGCUGCUGCUCGUGAGUAUCGCCGAAGUUUCCCCUCAGACGAAUUCCAGAUCGUCAAGUUUUUGUUAACAUCCACCGUAACUUAUGUGAAAAAGGAAGUUUUCGAAGAGCUCGAGGACAAGGCAGACCACAAGCAAAUCAUAACUUGGAAAACGUCUUAAACUAUUUCGAAGAAAAUCCUGGAACAAGCAUCAGAACAGUGUAACAGGCCAUACAUAUCCCCCACUCAAUAAUAGGAAGAAUGGUGAGAAUCGAAGGCUUACAUCCCUAUCAUUACCAGAGAGUUCAAGAGUUGGUACCAGACGAUUUUGCGCUGAGGGUCCAAUUUUGUAAUUGGAUAAUUAACAACCCAAACUUAGUUCCUUUUAUUUUAUGGACUGACGAAGCUACCUUCCCUAGAAAUGGUUCGUUUAAUAUGCAUGUUUGGGCAGAUGAUAAUCCAAGAGCAAUACGGCGUACUAACUUUCAGAGCAGGUUUUUAAUAAAUUUUUGGGCGGGCUUAAUCGGGAACCAACUUAUUAGCCCGAUAGAGUUACCCAACCGUCUAAAUAAAAUUAAAACUAUUUAAAGAUGCUGGAACAUAAUCUUGGGCAGCUUUUGGAAGACGUUCCUCUUAACAUACGAUAGAAUUUAAGAUUUCAGCACGACGCGACGAAGCGCGAGGUAUAUGCUGUAGAAAUUAAUACCCGUGGAGAAUUAAUUCAAAGGAUUAAUUGGGCGGUUAGUGAGAUAAGGGGAAAUCCAUUUUCUAUUUUAAGAGCUACUCGCGCAAUAAGGCGUAGGGCAAGAUUAUGUUUCCAACAAAAUGGCAACCACUUCGAACAAUUCCUAUAGUAUGUUUUCUUUUGUUUGUUUGCUUGUUUUGUUUGGUGCUUUCAGUUUUUUUUUCUUAGCUAAUAACUUAAUUGUUUAAAUUUUUAUCAAAUAUUUACACAUUAUUUACAGUUUUGAAAUAAAAUUUUAAACAAAGAAAACACUUUUUGAUCUUAAAAUUAAGUAUUUCUAAUAGUGUUAUGUCAUGUUUAUAACAUACCUGGUGAUUUGUAACAUACCUUUUAAUUUUAUUGAACAUGAUCAAAAAUACUUUAUGAUUGUAGGUUGCAAAACAUUAAUGUCUGAUUAUUUCAAAAAUGGGCGCUCCUAUCGAAAUAAGACAAGAGCACCUUUUUUAAUUAAAAAUAUUGAUUCUUUUCGAUUUUAUUACCAAAAUUAUUAGAACCUAGACAAAAAGUUUUGAAAUUUUUAACCUUUAA
This is a long non-coding RNA of Anthonomus grandis grandis, 1398 nucleotides long. RefSeq lists it as uncharacterized. NCBI's taxonomy places the organism in Eukaryota, Metazoa, Arthropoda, Insecta, Coleoptera, Curculionidae. The record is from RefSeq and is a predicted model, not a curated record. The transcript is spliced from 3 exons.